This is an RNA transcript of Xenia sp. Carnegie-2017, 1946 nucleotides long. It is a transcript of the gene named phagosome assembly factor 1-like, with no coding region annotated. The transcript has 18 exons. Lineage: Eukaryota; Metazoa; Cnidaria; Anthozoa; Malacalcyonacea; Xeniidae. The record is from RefSeq and is a predicted model, not a curated record.
AGUGUUAAUCAAAACAACGAAAAUGGCGAUGUAAAUACGGUGAUAUAAUGUCAAAUCAAUGUGCCAAAUGAAUUUUCAGCCGUUCUUUUUUUCUUAAAUUCCCCAAAACCUACAGUAAAGAUUGUCUGAAUCAUGCUGGAUCUUGAGGUUGUUCCUGAACGCUCCCUUGGCAACGGAGAAUGGGAAUUUGUUCUUGGAAUGCCCGUAUCGCAGUGUGUUCAAAUAUUAAAAAGACAAUGUACAGUGAUAAAGUCUGUACAAGUUAUCUAUAGUGAAGCGAAUCCACUGGCAGUAGAUCUCAUCCUUAAACUUCCAGAUGAUGGCAUUUGUUUAAAGUUUGAUUCAUCAGAUCAAAGACUCAAGAUCAUUGAAGUUUAUCACAUGAAGAAAGUCAAACUGAAAUAUUGUGGUGGGCAUUUCAACUCACCUCACCUUGAGCCCACAAUCGAUCAGAUCGACCAAUCAUUUGGGGCCACACAUCCUGGAGUUUAUGAUUCAAGUCAUCAGUUGUUCGAGUUAACUUUCAGAGGAGUCUCGUUUACCUUUCCAAUUGACUCAAAAUUUGAGCCUGACUUUGUUCAUGGUCUUGGUUCACUUCGGUUUUCUUCUGGACCUGGAGCACCAGUCGUUUCAAAGAUGAGCAUCUAUAGUGGAAACAGCUUGACCAACAAAACCAAAGCCCCUCCAAUGCCGAUUCAAUGUUUCUAUGGUAACUGCUAUGCAGAAUCUGUUCAAGUUUUGAGGGCAUCGGGAAAAGUAACAGGUCUUCUGUUUAAACUCGUGGGAGAAGGAAACAGUUUCGGUACAUUACCAGACCUGAAUAAAAAGGUCGUUGAAAGAACGGUUUCAUUUGGAGACACAUGUCAAGAUGUCAUGACGUGUUUUGGUUCACCUUGUAAAGUAUUUUAUAAAGCUGAAGAUAAGAUGCGUAUCCAUUCUCCCUAUACAUACAAACUUGAUCAAUCAAAUAGCUCCGACUAUUUCUUCAACUACUUUACACUUGGUGUGGACAUUUUAUUCGAUGCGUCAUCUCAUAAAGUAAAGAAAAUGAUUUUACACACAAACUUUCCUGGUCAUUACAAUUUCAACAUGUACCAUCGCUGUCAGUUUGUCAUCAACAUUACUCGUCCUCAAAAGAGUGAACUUGUUGAUUUAGGACAAGAAGAACAGUUUGAAAUCAAUCCCUGUACCAAGUGGGAUUGUGUACAAAACUUUUUGGGAAAAACAGUAGAAGCACCAGUUGUUGUAAACAGAUCUUCGACAACGAACACCUCGAAUCCUUUUGGCUCAACUUUCUGUUAUUGUCUUCAACAUAUGAUCUUUGAGAUUAUGCAGAACAACCCUAUUGCAUCCGUUACAUUGUAUCAAGACAAAUCUUAGAUGAUUCGUUGCUGUAUGAGUUUGAAGCUUUCUCAAAUGUUUUAGAGAAUCGUUAACAAGAACAACAAGACUUAAAGAUAAGUAGAUAAGUUUACGUUACGAAAGAAAACAAAUGCGGAAAAAUGGCAAGAAUAUAAAAUAGUUCUUGAUUAUUGAACAGUUAUUCAUACAGUUCAACGUCCUUGACAGAUGGCUUUUAUUAGCUAUCUCUCAUGGCUCAAAGCUUCUUUGUUUCUUCUCGGGCGUUAUUUUGGCGCGACUUGCAUGUUAUCAAAUUUGUUUCCUUGCGGUUUUUCUGAAUCCACUCAUGGAUUAUUAGAUACAUAGAAUAUGCUUUAGCAUGGCGACUUUGCAUUAAGAAAAAUAAAUAUUUAUUCAAGAUGUAUAUCCAGUCGUUGACUGUUGGUGCUCGUAUUGACUGACGUUUCGACAUUCUUUGCGGUAGUCACUUUUAGAAAACUUGUCGAUUUGCAUAAGUGAUAUAUUUAUUUCAUAGUUGCUAUAGUCUUUGUGUCUCAUUUUUGUUUCACUUUCAUUGUCGAUAAUCAUUGUCGUUUGAUGCAAAA